Molecule: long non-coding RNA, 416 nt
Organism: Mytilus californianus (California mussel)
Lineage: Eukaryota; Metazoa; Mollusca; Bivalvia; Mytilida; Mytilidae
Exons: 3
Source: RefSeq, a predicted model, not a curated record
UUAUUAGACGGGAAAAACCAGAAGUGAAAAUAGUAAAAGAUCCAUUUGCCUUACGUUACAUACAGAAAAAUGAAGAACUGAGGAAAGAAAAUAUUGAAUUGAGAUAUGAAAACAAGCAACUAAGGGUUUAGAAAAGCAGUGAGGUUUAUAGAAGAGCAGUCAGUGAGAUUUAUAGAAGAGCAGUGAGGUUUAUAGAAGAGCAGUCAGUGAGAUUUAUAGAAGAGCAGUGAGGUUUAAAGAAGAACAGUCAGUGAGAUUUGUUGAAGAGCAGUGAGGUUUAAAACGAAAGACAGUUUAAUACAGAUAAAAAGGUAUCCAGAGCCAAGUCUUUUUGCAAAAAUGACAGUAAAUGUGUUACAAUUUUAAAUGUUUUAUACCAGUGUAUUCUUUCCAUAAUAAAACUAUGUUCAUUUCUA